CCUACGGGCGGCAGCAGUGAGGAAUAUUGGUCAAUGGACGAGAGUCUGAACCAGCCAAGUAGCGUGAAGGAUGACUGCCCUAUGGGUUGUAAACUUCUUUUAUAUGGGAAUAAAAUGUUCCACGUGUGGGAUUUUGUAUGUACCAUAUGAAUAAGGAUCGGCUAACUCCGUGCCAGCAGCCGCGGUAAUCCGGAGGAUCCGAGCGUUAUCCGGAUUUAUUGGGUUUAAAGGGAGCGUAGGUGGAUUGUUAAGUCAGUUGUGAAAGUUUGCGGCUCAACCGUAAAAUUGCAGUUGAAACUGGCAGUCUGGAGUACAGUAGAGGUGGGCGGAAGUCGUGGUGUAGCGGUGAAAUGCUUAGAUAUCACGAAGAACUCCGAUUGCGAAGGCAGCUCACUGGACUGCAACUGACACUGAGGCUCGAAAGUGUGGGUAUCAAACAGGAUUAGAUACCCGAGUAGUC
This 460-nucleotide ribosomal RNA is filed under the name uncultured bacterium. Its description in RNAcentral is "partial 16S ribosomal RNA". It matches the Rfam family "Bacterial small subunit ribosomal RNA", at positions 338 to 795 of the family's 1533-position model. The record is from RNAcentral.